UUAAUUGAAGCCAAAAAGAGGCUUAUCACUGUUAAUGAUAGAACUGAGAUUUUCUCCAAUUAAA
RNAcentral lists this transfer RNA (64 nucleotides) under Taxigramma karakulensis. RNAcentral's name for it is "tRNA-Asn". Lineage: Eukaryota; Metazoa; Arthropoda; Insecta; Diptera; Sarcophagidae. The record is from RNAcentral.